This 460-nucleotide ribosomal RNA is filed under the name uncultured bacterium. RNAcentral describes it as "partial 16S ribosomal RNA". It matches the Rfam family "Bacterial small subunit ribosomal RNA", at positions 338 to 795 of the family's 1533-position model. The record is from RNAcentral.
CCUACGGGGGGCAGCAGUGAGGAAUAUUGGUCAAUGGACGAGAGUCUGAACCAGCCAAGUAGCGUGAAGGAUGACUGCCCUAUGGGUUGUAAACUUCUUUUAUAUGGGAAUAAAAUGUUCCACGUGUGGGAUUUUGUAUGUACCAUAUGAAUAAGGAUCGGCUAACUCCGUGCCAGCAGCCGCGGUAAUACGGAGGAUCCGAGCGUUAUCCGGAUUUAUUGGGUUUAAAGGGAGCGUAGGUGGAUUGUUAAGUCAGUUGUGAAAGUUUGCGGCUUAACCGUAAAAUUGCAGUUGAAACUGGCAGUCUUGAGUACAGUAGAGGUGGGCGGAAUUCGUGGUGUAGCGGUGAAAUGCUUAGAUAUCACGAAGAACUCCGAUUGCGAAGGCAGUUCACUGGACUGCAACUGACACUGAGGCUCGAAAGUGUGGGUAUCAAACAGGUUUAGAUACCCCAGUAGUC